This 453-nucleotide ribosomal RNA is filed under the name uncultured bacterium. RNAcentral's name for it is "bacterial SSU rRNA". It matches the Rfam family "Bacterial small subunit ribosomal RNA", at positions 340 to 786 of the family's 1533-position model. The record is from RNAcentral.
UACGGGACGCAGCAGUGGGGAAUAUUGCACAAUGGGCGCAAGCCUGAUGCAGCCAUGCCGCGUGUAUGAAGAAGGCCUUCGGGUUGUAAAGUACUUUCAGUCGUGAGGAAGGUGUUAAGGUUAAUAACCUUAGCAAUUGACGUUAGCGACAGAAGAAGCACCGGCUAACUCCGUGCCAGCAGCCGCGGUAAUACGGAGGGUGCGAGCGUUAAUCGGAAUUACUGGGCGUAAAGGGCACGCAGGCGGUUAAUUAAGUUGGAUGUGAAAUCCCCGGGCUUAACCUGGGAAUGGCAUUCAAGACUGGUUAGCUAGAGUCUUGUAGAGGGGGUAGAAUUCCAUGUGUAGCGGUGAAAUGCGUAGAGAUGUGGAGGAAUACCGGUGGCGAAGGCGGCCCCUGGACAAAGACUGACGCUCAUGUGCGAAAGCGUGGGGAGCAAACGAGGAUUAGAUACC